RNAcentral lists this ribosomal RNA (468 nucleotides) under uncultured bacterium. RNAcentral's name for it is "partial 16S ribosomal RNA". It matches the Rfam family "Bacterial small subunit ribosomal RNA", at positions 28 to 507 of the family's 1533-position model. The record is from RNAcentral.
GACGAACGCUGGCGGCGUGCUUAACACAUGCAAGUCGAACGGAAAGGCCCUGCUUUUGUGGGGUGCUCGAGUGGCGAACGGGUGAGUAACACGUGAGUAACCUGCCCUUGACUUUGGGAUAACUUCAGGAAACUGGGGCUAAUACCGGAUAGGAGCUCCUGCUGCAUGGUGGGGGUUGGAAAGUUUCGGCGGUUGGGGAUGGACUCGCGGCUUAUCAGCUUGUUGGUGGGGUAGUGGCUUACCAAGGCUUUGACGGGUAGCCGGCCUGAGAGGGUGACCGGCCACAUUGGGACUGAGAUACGGCCCAGACUGCUACGGGAGGCAGCAGUGGGGAAUAUUGCACAAUGGGCGGAAGCCUAAUGCAGCAACGCCGCGUGCGGGAUGACGGCCUUCGGGUUGUAAACCGCUUUCGCCUGUGACGAAGCGUGAGUGACGGUAAUGGGUAAAGAAGCACCGGCUAACUACGUG